GGGACAGCCCGCCUGGCGCGCGGGGCUCUGCGCGCUGCGACCCUCCCCGGCAGUCCCGCCCGCCUCUCCUCGCCCUCUCUCUGCCUGGCCUCCAACUUUGCCUCUCGCUAUCCUCUCCGCCGGCGCCCCCUUUCCCGGCGGUCCCCGGGAUGGUCCCCGGCACCCCGAGGACGCCGAGGUUACGGGAAGUUCGGGGACUGGCGGGAGAAGGGGUUUGGGGGUGGUCCGCGGCGAGGGGCGCGGGGUGCAUCUUCUCUUCCUUUUAUGCUGAGUGGGUCAGCUCAUCACAGGCCUGCGGCCCCUGCAUGGGUGACAGAGGAGGCAAAGAUGACACAGAGAAACUAUCCCUUCAGGGACAGAGUGGGGACACCCACGAGCUUGGCUCUGCCUUACAAAGAAAUGAGAAGGAACCCCGUUCCUGCUUUUCACCUUAGGGCUGCCACACUUGUGUAUCCCUUCUUCCUUGAAUUUAACCAGGAGUGA
This 483-nucleotide long non-coding RNA is filed under the name Homo sapiens (human). Its description in RNAcentral is "non-protein coding FZD10-DT:43". Lineage: Eukaryota; Metazoa; Chordata; Mammalia; Primates; Hominidae. The record is from RNAcentral.